GACACCACUCGCCCCCCUCCCCCCCCCCUCCCUUUCGGGUGUGGGUGGGGGUGUCGGGGCGGACUCUGAGUGUUCCGGAGCUUGCUCCGAGUGCACCUAAUCUCGUGAACGAAGCCUCUCGCGCCCUGCCGCACAGAGUUGUUGACGGCGCUCGCUUCGGCGGCGACUCUCGACUCACCAAACGUGCGCAGGCUGCCUGCUUCUUCCGGCGCUCCUUCCCCCGGUCAAACGGGGGAGGGAAACCGUACCACUUUCG
This 256-nucleotide unclassified non-coding RNA is filed under the name Alaria marginata. RNAcentral's name for it is "ITS2". Lineage: Eukaryota; Phaeophyceae; Laminariales; Alariaceae. The record is from RNAcentral.